RNAcentral lists this long non-coding RNA (13554 nucleotides) under Eutrema salsugineum. RNAcentral's name for it is "long non-coding RNA (ESAL_LNC000541)". Lineage: Eukaryota; Viridiplantae; Streptophyta; Magnoliopsida; Brassicales; Brassicaceae. The record is from RNAcentral.
GCUAAGAGCUGUUCUGAUGGAAGCGCUUGAUUUGCGCGAUCCAAACCACGAAUCGAUCUUGAGCUUUCGUUUCCCAGUCUCUUCGUCCUUGAUUAGCUGGAAAUCGAGAUUGAGAUGCUUGAAAUCGCGGACGAGCUUGCCGCGAGGUCCUUCAACUUCGAUCACUUUAGCGUUAACUUUGAUGCUAACGCCGUCGGGAAUGUCCAUCGUCUCCGAAGAUAGAAUCGUCUUCAUCUUCUCUCGCUGUCUGUCUCUCUGGCUGUGUCUCUUGUUUGCACCACGGCGGCGGCGAAUUUUAACAAGAAACCUAGGUUUUAUGGGUUUUCUGAUGGGCCGGUCCGAUCAGUUUGGGCGCAGUCCAUUUUGGGCCAGUCUUGAUAAAAUCUAUAUAUUUCUGUGUUUUUCUUUCUCUCUAUCGGUGAUCUACUAGUGUUUUGUCCGACCACCGAAGGAAUCCAACCGAGCCAAAUCAAAUAAAAAGAACUACUAAAAGGAACCGGACAGUUAAAAAUGCUGAAUGAUUCUUUUUCAAAAAAAAAAUUUAGAUAUCUGCGCCGAACCAAAUUAAGAAGAAUUAAACUGAAACGAAAUAGUCCCAAAUACUUGAAUGAUUCAUUUUUAAAACAUUUCAUAUAUCCUGAAACGAAUAGUCACAAAUACUUGAUUGAUUCCUUUAAAAAACAUUUCAUAUAUCCGAACUGAACCUGAACCAAAAUACAAUUAUAUAUGUAAAAUAUCAAGUAUUUUUUAGACUUAAAAUAACCAAAAUAUUAAAAAUAACAAUUAUAAAAUCUAAAUUUUUAAUUUUAAGGGUAUUUCAUAUACUAAAUAUCGGAUAAUUUAGAUAAUUUGAGUAGUUUUAGGUAUUUUUUAGGUAAUUUGGAUAGUUUAAGUUUUUUUAGAGUAUUUCAAAUAAUUCAAAUAAUUCGCGUAAAGUUAUCAUAUUCAAACCAAACUCACAUACAUUUCAAAUCAUAGGUGUCAAGAUAUGACGCGGUCAUCAAACCAGUAGUUGAACCAGAGCUUCAUCAAACUUACUGCUCAAGCUACAUAGGAUCCAACAAAGACGUCUCUGCCUUCAAUAAAGCAUAUCGAACCAACAAGAAAGAUUUGAGGAACAAGCUGAAUUGUUUUAGAAACUCAAAUCAUCAGAGAUUCAUGGAGAAGUGUAAUUGGGUUCAUAUCAGCUCGGACAAAACCAGAAUCGAAUUUACAAAUCAGAUGAUUCCAGAUUAUCUUGCUAUUGAAGCCAAUACGACCUACGGCCAUUGUUUCACAAAUACCGGUUCAACCACAAUGAUUCAAGGCACGAAACCAGUUGGAGAACAUUCUCAGCUCAUCUAGAGAACACCAAGAAGUGGAAUCAGUCCAAUACGAGUUCUGAGGAAGGAGAUAUUCAGUUUUCAAACCAGGAGAACUAGAGCUCGCUAGAUUCAGACAUAUGCGGGAUCAUUGGAGGAUUCCGACUAAACCAGAAUGAAUUAAGCUAUGAACCAACUUGUUCUAGUAUCUUAAUUCAUCAGGAAAUUAGGGAGAGUUUAAAUCGUACCAAUACCGGUUAUGGUUGGGGAGAUAUUCGAUUUUUAAACCAGACAUUCCUCACCUUGCCUUAUUUGGAGUCUCACGAGUUUGGUCAAAGUCAAACGUAUUUGUGGCGACCAGGAGAAAUUAAUAAUAAUCCAGAAUGUUCCUCAAAGGCCCUACAGUGCUCCAGCACACAGAGGAUUAGGCGAAUCCUCUUGCACCUCAACUUACCAUAUUUGGACGCGUUCACACUUGGAGGAAUAACUCACCAACGAUUCUUUCUUCUUUGCUGCUGUAUUUGAAGCCUCUAAAAAUGAAUCCAGACAUCCCAAAGGCGCACCACUUCCAGCCCAAGCUAUCAAGAUUGAAACCAAUGGUUAUUUCCUUAGUUUGACAGAUUUUCUCAUCAAUUCUCCAACAGCUAGUUUUUCAUUUAAUUCUGCAAUUUUCUUCUUGUUUUAGACUUAAAAAUUGUUCUACUUGAGCCUAUAUAAGCUCAGCUCGUCCCCAUGUACAAAUCACCCUUGAUCAUUGAAAUUAAUAGAAACGUUUUAUUCUUUUCACAAAGCUUGUUUUUCUUUGCGUUUAUGCUCUUUAGAUUUCUAAGUGUGUGAUUCACUUUAAGUCUAUAGAAACCCACGGUUUUAGGAGUGUUUUGAGUGAUUCAAUACUCUUAGUCUUGCCAUUGAUUGAGUGAGUCAAUCACCUUCACCAUCCAUCUCUACCUUCAGCCCCUUCAGCGUACCUUAGGCUUGGAAUCUCUCGAUCAUCGAGUGAUCUUAGUAUUGGAGUGAUUCCGAUCCUAUAUCAAGAUAGCUUUUCAAUUUAUUAACCGAAUUGACCUGAACUGAAAGCCACCCCAAUCUGAAUACGGAUUUUUCUUGGUUCUAAUAUAGUUUAUAGUUGUUAUACACGGUAAAAAACUAAAGAGGUGUUAUUGGGAGGUUGAUUUAUGAAGAUUUUCAGAGUUUAAGAUUCUAUGGUUAUUGGUUUGUGGAUUUUUACAUUCUUAAUAGAUUUCACUGUUAUUUGUAAACGGAUUUUAAAAAUCCAUUGUUAUUGGUUUGAUGAUUUUGAUAAUCUAAUCAAAAUCUAUUGUUAGUCAAAAAGUUUGUAUUUUAUUGAUUUUAUGAUUUUGUUAUAAUCUAGUGUUAUUAGGAUAAUGAUUCUUUACAAUUUAACUCAUAAUUUUCAAAAUACUACGGAAGAGUUAUUGGGAGUAUGAUCUAUAAAGGUUUUUGUUGCUUUUAAAUGUAAUGAGAUUUAUCAAAUUUUCAUAAGUUUUGUUGGAUUUGUAAAAUUUGCAGAAAGUUAUGUGGAUUUAAAUAAUCCACAAAAUAUUUUUAAUAUGACAGAUUUUGAGAAUCCAAUGGAUAUACAGGUAGUAUUUUGGAAAUCAUGAUUUAUGAGUUAAAUUGUAAAAAAUCAUUACCCCAAUAACACUAGAUUAUAACAGAAUCAUAUAAUCAUUAAAGGGGUUUUUGCUAAAAAUAACAUAAAAUUUGAUUUUGAAUACAAAAGUAGAUCUCUGAUGCAACAUUUAGCAAAAAUAACCUAAAAGGAUAGUGAAAAGACAAUAUAAUCCUGUAUGACCAAACAAAAAAACGGAUGUCAUAAUUACUGUUUAAACUCUGACGAAGUCUACUUUAAACUAUUAGAAGUCUAUUAGUAGACUUAUAAUAAAGUUUAUGAAGUCUACUAUGUAAUUAAAUCAUAAAAAUUAAUUUUAAAAAUAAUAAAAAAUAAUAUUGGUUUCAAAUUUGCAGUCAUAAAUUAGAUAUUGGUAACCCUAUUGCAUAUAAAUUAUUUUUUCAUAUUUAUAAGUUAAACUUUAUGGUUUCAAAUUAAGAAGAACAAAAUAUUUGAUUUAGUGUUUAUAUUUAGUAGACUUCAAUAUAGAAGUCUACUAAACCGAAUAAAUACCGAAAAUUGAAUCGAAAUUGAACUAACAAGGAAAUCUAUAAAAUCGAAUAAAUUAACUUAACCGAUAUUUAAAAUCAAAAUUGAACCAACGAAUUUAUGAGAUAUUAAACCAAAAAUGUUAUCAAACCGAAAUUAAUUUCUUGUAAUCAAUGAAAAUUAGGUUCUAAAAUUUAGUUAAACCAAAAUUGAACCAAAGAAAUUUAACUUUUCCAAAACCAAAAUGAAAAUUAGGUUUUUUUAUCCUACUAUAUAAACGAACUAUCCCUAAUAAAACCCUUAUUUUAUCCCAGACAUGCUCUCUCUAAAACGGCGCUCUCUCUUCUCUCUCACCAUUUUUUUUUGCUUUUCAUUCUCUUUGUGAAGCUAUAGAGAAGCAUGGUUGCUGUACGAAGCUGUAGUGAAGGAGCUGAAGAAAGAAGAUUCAGGCGAGCUCAAGAUCUUAAGCGGUCGUGAAGGAGUAUUGAAGAAGAUGACUCAUCUUAGUCUCUUACCGAAUCUCGCCGCUCCUCACAGUCUCUGGUGUGAGGUAAAUCAUCGUUACUCCUUUUUUCCUCUUUAAACCCUCUAAAUAUCUGUUUUUUUGUAGAUCUUAAAAUCUGUUUGGUUUAUUUUCUUGUUGGCUUUUUGGACGAAGCUAUUGCAUUUUAGCUUACACGUGUUGUUUCUGAUAGAUGGCUUUCGUGAUUUGGUCUCUCCAUGGAUUAUAAAGUUUUCGCAUUUGGUGCUGUUAUUUUUCUUCAUAUAUCUUUACUUCUUUUUUUUUUUAAAUCGUAUAUCUUUACUUCUUGAUAUCUGGCUUCAGUGUCAGUGUGUCACAACCACACAUGAUUUCUCUAUUGAUAAAGAAAUACGAUCUGCUGAGUCUUGCCUUUGUAGCAGAAGAUUGUUUAUUUCAUGUCGUUACUUUCUGUGCUAGUUGAGUCUGGUUUAGAUAUCUUCAUCUUAUUUUCUAAUUUAAAAGUUUGAUUAAGCUCAGAUAUUUGUUGUUCUAUUAUUUUCCAAGUUUUGUUAUUGGUAUUUAAUAACCUUUCGAUGAAAUACUGAGAGUAUGUAUAUUUUUUUUUGCAAGAAAAAGUGAAGACAAAGCAUCCCCAGCUGCCAAAAACUCAAAACCUGUCUCACUCAGGUGGACCAAGCAGAGACGCUCCAGCAGGGCAGGUGUUACCGCAGAGGAAGACUAAUGAUGAUGCUUGUAUCACUGAACUAUACCAUUUACAUAGAAUUACUUUUGUAAUAUUUAAUUUCAUAUACAUAUAUAAUUGGAAUCUUUUUUACAAUCUUUCAGUCACCGUUAAAAAAUUUAGUCUUUUAUUUUCUUUAUUCAAAAUCGUUUGUUCAUGUUGGUAAGAAGAUGAUCCAAAUGUUAGGCCAUGUGAUGAUUGAUCCAAAUGUUUCUUCUUUUAGUGUGGAUGUAGAAGAUGAAAAUAUCACUUUAGUUUAGUGUAAAAACAAAACUGAAGAAGUAACAAAAGUAGAUUUGGUAAUAACAAACCUGAAGAAGUACUAACAAAAGCUUCAAUUUUACAUUUUAAUUCAAUGUCACAAAAUGUUUGAAGUGAAACCACAUAAGAAGCAUAUUAGUAGACUUCAAAAUUUUGUCACCAAUUCAGUUUUUUUUUGUCUAAAUUAUAAUUAUCUUAUGUCAUUUUAGUAAGUUCAACAAAUGUACAAUCAUCACUCAAAAAACAAAAAAAAAUUCUACCUCCUUAACCAUUGCUAUUAUUCACCACAAAAUGUCACAAUUUCUCUUUCAUUUUUCAAUUUUAGUAAACAAUAAGUAUUUCAAUAAUUAUCUGUAAUAAAACACACAAAUAAACCGUAUUAGAAAACAAAAUUGCGAACCAAAUUCUUGUAAACACAUAAGAAAUGAAAAUUUUUGAUCAAGGAGACUUCAUCGGCAGACUUCAUCCGUAGACUGCAGAUGAAGUCUACUCUUCCAAGCUAACUAGCUAUUAAAUCAAGAAAUUUGAUUCCACAAUAAAUAUCGACUUAUCACAAAUGAAACUUAUUGAGUAGUUAAACCAGUUGGUAACACACAUUCCAAAACCAAAAAAAUACAAAAAAAAAUUUAUAUAUAUUAUGUAAUAUUGUUUUAAAAUAAUGAUACCAAGCAGACUUCGUGUGCAGACUUCAUCCGCAGACUUCUGUAGAAGUCUACUUUGAUAAGCUAAGUAGCUUAAAAAUCAAAACUUCUGAUUCAACAAUAAAUAUCGAAUUGAAUGAAAUGAAAUUCACUGGGUAGUUCAAUCACUUACUAAAAAGCAUUUCUAAUCAAAAAAAUAAAAAAAAUACUUUAUAAAUUUGCCUAAAACGCAUUUUUUAAAAAAACUGCAAUAAGUAGACUUCUACAGCAGACUUCAAACGUAGACUGGAGGAGAAGUCUACUUUUUCAUAGUGAAGUCUACUAAAGAAGUCUACUAAAAAACAUGUUAUUUUUGCAAUUGACCAAUCCGUUGACUUUUUCUUCAGUAGACUUCAGAAGUAGACUUCCGGCCAAAAAGGUUACUUUAGCAUUUGACUGAUGCAUUGACUAACAAAGUAGACUUCUAUUGUAGACUUCAUGUACGAGUAAACUUCUCUGACAGUCUACUUUUGAAGUCUACUUUUUCAAUAGAAGUCUACGAAAAAAAAUAGGUUAUUUUUGCAAUUGAAUUUUUGGAGUAGACUUCACUGUGAAGUCUACUUAAAAAAGAUUCCUUCUAAGUUUGACCGAAAAAUAUAAGUAGACUUCCCAAAGAAGUCUACAGUUUUUAGACUUCUUUCUGAAGUCUACUGCAGCUUUCCGGAGUUUUAUAUUUUUAUUUUUUUAAAAACUUUAGUCAAACACUAAAAUGACCUAUACGUUUUUGGUCAAACUACAAAAGUAACUUAAAAGUAGACUUCUUGUGCAGACGUAAACAGUAGACUUUAGAAAGAAGUCUACAUUAAAAAAGUCAAAAUAUGGUCAACUACAAAAAUAACCUCUUUUCUUUCGUAGACUUCUUAAGCCUUCAAAUGAAGUCUACUUUGCUUUUUUUUGUUUUCAAAGGAUAUCGAGUAGACUUCUCGUGAGGUUUAAUGAAGUCUACUUUUAAAAGUCAAUUACAAAAAUAACCUUAUGUUGACUAGUAGACUUCAGUAUACUUCACGAGAAGUCUACUUUCGCGAUAUGAAAACUGAAAUGUGGAGAAAUUGAAGUGUGACGAUUACAUUUAACAAAAUUGAGCUCGGCUACAGUUCUUUUAAGCACCCAGAACUCAGGAUUUCACCAAAAAUAAGCAACCCAGAUGUUAAGUAACCAGAAAUCACCAAAAAUGCAUGAAUUUUGGCAUUGUAACUUAGCCCAGUUGUUUUGGAGAAGAAAUUAUGAAAGAAUGAGGAAGGUUAUGAGUGAAUGAGCUCAAAUCUUUACUUAUUACAGCUUUAAAAUUGGUUGAGAAGCAUUUAUUCUAUUUUCAUGGUUGUUCAUAGUGGUUGAAGAAAUUGAAAAAGAUGACAUUCUCGUAAUAAAAAGGUUUUUAGAAGGUCCAAGGAGACUUUAACCAAAUUAAAGAAAAAUCGAAAUAAUAGAUGUAUAAUGGCAUUUUCGUUAAUAGUUUAAGUGGGAAUGAUAAAAUUGUGAGAAAAUGGCAAAAGUUGGAGAGAGAAAAAAAAGAGGUUAGUUUGGUGUUUGACUUUGAAAUAUGGGUUAAAUCUGAAACUCUCCCAUCAUUAAAAUGCAAAUUUUUUGAAUAACAGUAGAUUUUGAUUAGAUUAUAAAAAUCAUCAAACCAAUAACAAUAAAUUUUUUAUAAUCUGUUUACGAAUAACAAUAUAAUCUAUUAAGAAUGUAAAAACCCACAAACCAAUAACCAUAAAAUCUUAAACUCUAAAAAUCUUUAUAAAUCAACCUUCGGAUAACACCAUCUACAUAUAUCUCUUGGAUUCUCAAAGUCUGUCAUAUCAUAUCUUUUAAAUCCACACAAUUUUUGUAAGUUUUAUAAAUUUAACAAAACUCUUGAAGAUUUGACAAAUUUUCUGACUUUUAAAAUCUUUAUAAAUCCAACUUCCAAUAACCCCUCUAAAACGACUAUCUGAAUGUUAAUCUUUUGCUAUUAAAUCAAGCAAAGAGAAAAUUGACACCACUUUAUCAUAUCAAAUUGAUUUCUAUAUCCCUAUGAAAAAAUAUAGGGAAUUAUGUGAUAUGUUUAUCAUUGCGCUAUGUAACUUGUGAUUGUCCUAAAUCUAGUAACAAUUUUCAGUUCCUUUUUGUUUUGGUUUAUUUCAAAACACUCUUUGGAGGGACUAUUCACAAAUCAAUGACCGAACUUUACACUUUAUUUAUACUGUAGCCAUUUAGAUAGUUCUUGCCUUUUUGGUCACAGUUCAAGAACUUAUUUCCUUCUUUUCCCCUACCGUUUAUUCCACGUAAUUUAAAUUGUAAAACUGAUCAUUAUGUUGCUUGCAAUGCUAGUUUCGUUCUUGUGAUUUUGUAGAUAUAAACUUUGUAAUUCUUAUUUGGAUUUUCUAUUAACUAAACCAUUAUUGUUGAAAAACCAUCAUCCUGAAUAGGGUUGUCAUUUGUCAAUUAGGGUUAAAGUUUAUUGACUAUCCUUGAAUCCUAUCAUCUGCGUGGCCCAAAUCACCCAAACUCGUUUUGCAGGACUUUGGAAAACUUGAACUCUUAACAUUCAACACAAUCAAUAUGGAAACAGACGAACAUUUGCAUAUAAUCUACACACAACUCCAUUUUUCCCAAACAUAUAUAAACAACUCCACCUGAGGUAAAGUUCAAGGAGUUCAAAAAUGAGGAGUAAGAGAACUGAAACUUAUUCAAUUUAGUGCUUUUUAGACCACCUCCAACCAUGGUCUCUAAUGAGGAGUUCUAAUUAUUUUUUUUAAUAGUUUUAUUCAUCUUUUUUGUUUUAAAACCUCUAUUACAUCAUUUCUAAAUUUUGUGGUCCAAUGGUAGGCUUUAAUUGAAGUUCUAAAAAAGAAAAAAAAAAUUAUUGUAACUUUUGAAAUACAAACAUUUUAUGAAGACAAAUUAUUUUAUUGAUUUGAAAUUUAAAUAUACAUUACAAAAAAAAAAAACACUACACCAAUAAGAAAAAGGGAUUGAAUAAAAAAAACCCUACACCAAUCUUAUAUAUACUAAUAAAAGUUGAAGCUAUAUGCUUUUAAGAGUAUCCACAUCCACAUAGGAUUUAAGAAAGCAAUUUAAUUGGUCUACAUCAACAUUCAAAAAUAAGGAAAAUUUACAAAUUGUAAUAUUAUUGUUGAAAAAAAAAGAAAUUAAAAAAGUGUCCACAUAGGAUUUAAAAAAUGAAUUUCAUUGGUCCACAUAAACAUUUAAAAUUAAGGAAAAUUUACAAAUUGUAAUAUUAUUGUUGAAAAAAGAAAUUAAGAAAGUUUAUUGGUCCAAUAAAAUUUUUUAGUGGUCCACCUCAACACUGAAAAUUAAAAAAUAUUUAUAUAAAUUUUUUAUUGGUCCACCUCAACAUUGAAAAUUGAAAAUUUUCCAAAUUCUAUUAUUGUUUUUAAAAUUAUGAAAAGUAAAGAAAUUAUAUAUAAAAUUGAUAUUAAUAAUAAAAAACUAAAAUAAAUAAUAUUAAAAUAAAGAAAUUACAAAGGUGUCCACAUAGGAUUUAAAAAUCAAUUUUAUUGGUCCACAUCAACAUUCAAAAUUAAGAAAAAUUUACAAAUUGUAAUAUUAUUGCGGAAAAAGAAAAUUAAGAAAGUUAAUUGGUUCAAUAAAAAAAUUUUAUUGGUCCACCUCAACACUGAAAAUUGAAAAAUAUUUGUAUAAAUUUUUUAUUGGUCCACCUCAACAUUGAUAAUUGAAAAUUUUCCAAUAUAUAAAAUUAAUAUUAAUAAUAAAAAACAAAAAUAAAAAAUAUUAAAAUAGGAAAAUUUUAAUUUAAAUUAGAUAUAUACACACAUAUUUAGAGACUCUUAUAUUAGCAUCCAAUUUUUUUGUCACAUAAUUAUAAUAAUUUUUUAAGUUGUUUUUGUGUGUGCAACCAUGUAAAAUAAACAAAAACAAAAGAUAGAGUAAGGUUUCACUACAAAAUGAGUCAUUACAACGUAAAAGAACUAAUUUGACUAAAAUAUAUGUUUAACUAUUAGCUAAAUUACAAAGAAUAUAAUAAAAGAAGAUAUAAACAAAACCACUACAAUAACAAACUUGACCAAACUAUAUGUUUUAGCUAAAUUAUAAAGAAUAUAAUGAAAGAAGAUAUAAACAAAGGCACUACAAGCCGUUUUAAUAUUAAAAAAGAAACCGUAAAAUCUUCAAAGCUUGGCCACCAAAUUUAAGAUAAUGAUAAAUUUUAAGCAAUCCGAGAACACAUGUCAAGUGAUUGAUACUCGACACUUUUGAAAAACCAAGCACUAAAAAUAGAGAAAAGAACAUAGCGGAGGAGACUGAGGUAUCUGAGGAAAUUUUGUGGAAUAACAUAGCAUCUGAAUGGGUUUUAACAAUCCAACCUGAACCACAAAAGUAACAAUUAGCUGACCAAGCAGCACUGAAUGUAUUCGGUAAGCCUCAAAACAAUGAGGAGAGGCUAAAAUCACUUGCCGUAACAGGCCUCGUGUGAGAUUUUCUAGUUUUAAUUUCUAAAUCUAUUACUAAUAAAAGUUAAAGCUAUAUGUCUCUAAGAAUGUCCAUAUAUGAUUUAAAAGUUUAAUUCUAUUGGUCCACAUCAAUAUUUAAAAUUAAGAAAUUUCUAAAUUUUAAAAUUAUAUUGUUAACAAACAAAUAUAUUUAAAAAUAAAAAUAAAAGUUGAAGCUAUAUGACUCUAAAGACAUUUACAUAAAAUUAAAUUAACUUUUUUUUCUAAAUUAUAAAAUUACAUUGUUAAUACAAAAUAAUAUAAGAAAAAUUGUUAGUUAAAAUUAUUCUAUUAUUAAUGAUAGUUAAAGCUAUAUUAUUUUCAAGGCAUCCACAUCAGCAUUUAAAAAUUCAUAUAUAUUAGUAUAUAUCAAAAUUAUAAAUUAAAAAAAGUUUCAUAAUUCUAAUAUUAUGGUUAAAAAAUAUAUUAAAAAAAUAAAGAAAUAUCUAUUAACCAAAAAAACCAACAUAAUAUUAAAAUCUCCAUUAUCACUGUUUAAAUCACAAAUUUAGUUUAUUAUCUAUAAAAAAAAUAUAUGCUACUUAUACAAGUUUAAGUUACUUGAUUUUAAAGCUUUUCAUGUAGAAUUUCAAAUAACUAAUAUUUAUGAUUUAUAUUCAUCUAAUUUUUUUUCACAUAUGCAAACCAUAUCAUCUAAAUAUGUAAUAUAUUAUGCGAAAAUAUGCAAUAUUUUUUUCUCAUGUAAUAUAUUAUGCAAAAAUGAUCAAAAUUUUUACAUUUUAUAUAUUAAAUUUGGAAUUCAAUAGAUUAAUGUAGAAGUUCUUAGUUUUGAGUUGUUCAAUUUGUUAUUCUAUUUUUAUAAAUUUGUAUGUAUUAAAUUGUAUUGGUUUUGUCCUACUUAAUUACAAUUAGAAGUGAGAAUGAAUAUGAUGAAACUGAAUAUAAUCAUACAAAAAUUAAUAAAAUAAAUAAAUAUGAUAGAUUCAUUGAAAAAACAGAUAUAACAAGAAUAAAAAUGAAGAAGAUGAAAAAAAAAUCAUUCUUAUUAGAAGAGAUGACGUAUAAUCAUUGAAAAAUUAUUUAAAAGUUUACACUACCAAUUGACAAAAAUAUAUUUAUUUAUAAAUUUUUGUGAUUUUAUUCAUUUCAUAUUCAAUUACUGUUUUAGUUUCAAAUUUAAAGUUGUUAUUAAUCUCAAAGCAAAUAUUUUAUUUAAUAGUAUGUUUUUAAAAUUAAUAUAUCAAAAUAAAAAUUUGUAUUUGUUAAAAAAGAGAAGAAAAAAGAUUAAAUUUUAAAUUUUUUUAUUAUUUUUUUAAGAACAUAUAUAUAAUUAAAUAAAAGUGAAAAUAAUGGGAAAAAUUAUCUUCUUAAUUUAAAGAAGUGAAUGUAUAAUAUUUUAUUAUCAUGUUAAUAUGAUGUUUAAAAAGUAACAUUUGAUUAAUUUGUAAAAAAAUUAGCUGGUUUUUGUAUAUUAACUUAUAAAUGUUUGACCAAAUAAUACAUUUUUGAAAUAUGAUAUACUGUAUAUAGAUUCAAAACAAAACCAUUAAAAUAUCACAAUUUACAUAAAAAUUAUUAGAUCAACACUAUUAUAUUUUAAUAUAUUUUUAAAACACUAAUAUAUAAAAUUUAUAUCUUAAUAAAUAUAAUUAAUUGUAUAUAAUUUUUAUCAACAAAAUACCCAUGCGUAGCGUGGACGCAAAAUCUAGUGAAUAAAAAAAACCUUAGAGGGUUUGAACAAGAACUAAAAAAAAAUACAUUACAUAAUUCAAAAAUUUUUAGUGAGACAGAGGGCUUAAAUAAAUAAUAAAAAAAACACUACACCAAUAAAAAAGUGACACGUCAGAGUCUCUAAUGAAUCUUUAGAGAGCACUAAAUUAAAAACGGUUUUGGCAAUAUUAUCCAUUAAAACUUUUCUGUUUAAUUAAAAUUCAAACUAUAACCCCUUAUCAUCCCCCAUUGGCUGCUCUUAGCCCCUUCUUGCUUUCUUUCUUUACUGAUGGUAAAUCGAAUCACUUGUCCAAUUUCUUCCGUUUACACUUUACAAUUGUUAAUCAACGCAAAAUUAGGAGUUAGAUGUGAGAUGACGAACUCUCAUUCAAGUUUGUGUAUCACUGGAUAUCAUCGACGAAUAAAUUCCAUUGCACAACCAAUUCUCUUCCACAUACAAAGAAACGUCAUAUUAUCGGACGAGAUUUCUAAUUGUGGCAAAUCAAAGAGAGCGAGAGAGAGGAGGGUAAAAAGAUUGUUGUACUCAAAACUUGUGCAGAAAUAAAUAAAAUCUAGAACAAAAACGAACAAUGGAUAAGCUGACACCAGGUGGAUUUGAUCCACUAAGCAAAAACUAAACAUUCAAAAGACAAGAACGAGAGGAGACUAUGAUCUAUUCCUCCUCAACGAUCUUGCUCUUCUCGCUUACAUAGAUACCGUCAAGAAACUUUCUGAUAUCCUUCUUCUUGACGUGAGAUUUCUGCACAUCACAUAAACCAAUCCAUAGUAAUUACAAAAGUUCCGUAUACAAAAGUGUUCAAAAAUAAAAAAACAUCAACCAAAUAUCCCUUUUAACCUCGAGCUUUCAGUCUAAAUGGGUCGGAGACUAACAAUAUGCAAGCUAGAUCAAGUUAACUUAAGCAAUUUUAUAGUCAGUAUUGUAGAAGUCUACGAGAGAGCGAUAUAGAUAAUUUGGAUGGAUUUACACUGAAGUUCAUAUCAUUAAUCAAACAUAAACCAUAAUAUAAACUACGUCUCCUUCAUUAAACAAUUCCUCAAUCUUUGAGACCCAUCAGAAUACAAACUCGGUUAAGAACUUUCAAGUCUUUAUCUAGUGAACAUUGUUAAAGACUAUGAGAAACCCAUUAACAUAUACACACAAAUGCAUCUUUCUUCACUCAAGUUUCAGAACAUUAAACAAGAAAUGUAUCUGCUUGCUAGUAAGAGUACCUGGUUGAUCAAAGCGCAAGAUCUUGAGACAAGCUCGAUAUCGUUACCAUCAAGAACAAUCUCAUCCUUCACUUUCUCAGAUCGAACAAUGGUCACAGCAUCCAACAUCUCUACCUUCCUCACCUGUUGAUUCCAAUAAAACCAUUACAUCUAAGUUCAUCAAAUCGGAGCUAAUAUUUCACAAUCACAUUACACAAUUCCAGAAGAACCAAAUCCAAUCUAGUAUCCGAGAGAAUCAGAUUGAUAAAACACGAACCUUCUUCUCGCCAAGGAAGUUACGGAUCUCGAUGGACUUGUUAUGGCCGCUGAUUGAAGCGUUGAUGGGAAAAUGAGCGUACACGAACCUCAUCUUGUAUCGGAAACCUCUGGUUACGCCGGAGAUUUAUCGACGUGGCUAAGAGCAGUUCUGAUGGAAGCGCUUGAUUUGCGCGAUCCAAACCACGAAUCGAUCUUGAGCUUUCGUUUCCCAGUUUCUUCGUCCUUGAUUAGCUGGAAAUCGAGGUUUAGAUGCUUGAAAUCGCGGACGAGCUUGCCGCGAGGUCCUUCAACUUCGAUGACCUUAGCGUUAACCUUGAUGCUAACGCCGUCGGGAAUGUCCAUCGUCUCCGAAGAUAGAAUCGUCUUCAUCUUCUC